RNA transcript from Equus quagga, 2022 nucleotides. It is a transcript of the gene named mitochondrial amidoxime reducing component 2, with no coding region annotated. The transcript has 9 exons. NCBI's taxonomy places the organism in Eukaryota, Metazoa, Chordata, Mammalia, Perissodactyla, Equidae. The record is from RefSeq and is a predicted model, not a curated record.
CGAGGCCAGGGGGCCAGGGCCGGGGGCUGAGCCAGCUCAGGCUCCUCCCGCCCGCCCGAGCCGCGAGCGCCGCCGCGCCCCGCCCUGCCCGGGUCGCCUGUGCUCAGUCCCGCGCUCGCUCGGUCAUGGGCGCCGCCGGCUCCUCGGCUCUGGCCCGCCUCGGCCUCCCCGCGCCGCCCCGGUCCCGCUGGCUGGGGGUGGCCGCGCUGGGACUGGCCGCCGUGGCGCUGGGGGCCGUGGCCUGGCGCCGCGCGAGGCCCCGGCGGCGCGGGCGGCUGCAGCAGGUGGGCACCGUGGCGCAGCUCUGGAUCUACCCGGUCAAGUCCUGCAGGGGGGUGCCGGUGAGCGCGGCCGAGUGCACGGCCAUGGGGCUGCGCAGCGGCCACCUGCGGGACAGGUUUUGGUUGGUGAUUAAGGAAGAUGGACACAUGGUCACUGCCCGGCAGGAGCCCCGCCUCAUGCUGGUCUCCAUCACCUAUGAGGACGAUCGCCUGAUCCUCAGGGCUCCGGACAUGGACCAGCUGGUUCUGCCGAGCAAGCAACCUUCCUCAAACACUCUCCAUGACUGCAGGCUAUUUGGUCUUGACAUCAAGGGCAGAGACUGUGGCGAUGAGGCAGCGCAGUGGUUCACCAACUUCUUGAAAACAGAAGCUUUCAGGCUGGUUCAGUUUGAAAAGAACAUGAAGGGAAGAUCAUCAAGGGAAAUUUUCCCUCCUUUUGUACAGAAUUACCAGGUGGCUUACCCGGACGCCAGCCCCCUCCUGGUCCUCUCGGAAGCCUCCCUGGCAGAUCUGAAUACCAGGCUGGAGAAGAAAGUGAAGAUGGACAAUUUCAGGCCAAAUAUCGUGGUGACGGGCUGUGAUGCUUUUGAGGAGGAUACCUGGGAUGAACUCCUAAUUGGCAACGUAGAAAUGAAAAAGGUUUUGGCUUGUUCCAGGUGCAUUUUGACCACCGUAGACCCGGAUACUGGAGUGAUAGACAGGAAGGAGCCACUGGAAACCCUGAAGAGCUACCGCCUGUGUGAUCCUUCUGAGAAGGAAAUACACAAGUCGUCCCCCCUUUUUGGGAUCUAUUAUUCGGUGGAAAAAACUGGAAGCCUGAAAGUGGGUGACCCCGUGUAUCGGAUGGUAGAGUGACGGAUCCACUAUGCUGACGUGGUAAAAGAAUGCUGAUGCAGGAGCCUCAGCAGAAAGACAAGUUUAUGUUCCCAGCUCAUUAGGGAAGAUCUUUAAGGAAUAAGGAAAUGAUGGUUUCAGCAUCCUGGAGGUAUUGAUGAGGAUUUUGACGACAGCAGCACCACCACCCCGGCGAGUCCUUAUUACCAGGCUUUGACUGUCUUCAUCCUGGAAAUGAAUCUCUAUUUUUGACUUAAAUAAAUGAUUGCCUAUAAAAUUAUCUUGAAUGUUACUAUAGCUAUUACACUUCUCCAGACCUUGACAAUAUUGAUGAGUAAAGAAAGUUUAAAGGAUCAGCUAAAUAACUGCAAAAUUAAAAAAAAAAAGGUUUACAUUUUAUCAUCUGUCAUUUCAUGGAAAAUAACAGGUUUCCUGACAUACUUUUACAUGUUAGCACAGUCACAAAUUCCUGUUAGGUGGUCUUUACGUGGCUUUGGAGUCCUACCAACUUUUCACUCAUGUGUUUUUGACUUGGCCAUUAUGGAAAUCACGUUGUGUUUGAGUCUGGAAAUUAUUUUAUAGACCUUGUUUUUAUAUUUGAUCAUGCCUCUAUUAAGCCAUAUAAAAGUAUCUUGUUGCAUGUAACUGCCAGAUGCACCACCUGGGAUUCCAACUGUGAUAAAGGAGAGAAUGGGAUUUCAAAGAGAAGGAAAUUUUGAGAGUAGGAGUGGGAGGAAGGAAGCGUGAACAUAUUUUUUAAUGUGCGAGUAAUUUUUUUUGUAACAAAGAGAAAUGAACUAUUCUGGUAUGAUGAAACAAGAAUUCUCAUUCAAGUAAUAUGUGAGUGAAUUAACCCAUUUACAAUUUGUGGUUUCUUUACUACUAAUAAAUGUGAAUCUCAAUUAUA